ACCCAACUGACGAGUCCCAAAUAGGAUGAGACCCGCGUCCUGGAU
This is a non-coding RNA of Schistosoma curassoni, 45 nucleotides long. NCBI's taxonomy places the organism in Eukaryota, Metazoa, Platyhelminthes, Trematoda, Strigeidida, Schistosomatidae. The record is from Rfam.